Molecule: long non-coding RNA, 144 nt
Organism: Suncus etruscus (white-toothed pygmy shrew)
Lineage: Eukaryota; Metazoa; Chordata; Mammalia; Eulipotyphla; Soricidae
Exons: 2
Source: RefSeq, a predicted model, not a curated record
GCACCUUACCUCCAGCGCCACCGCCCGGCCCCUGCUAUUUUGUUGUUAAUAAUUGUUAAAUUGAGGGGCCGGAGAGAUAGCAUGGAGAUAAGGCAUUUGCCUUGCAUGUAGAAGGACAGUGGUUCGAAUCCUGGCAACCCAUAA